CAGCCGCCGCGGUAAUACGUAGGUGGCAAGCGUUGUCCGGAAUUAUUGGGCGUAAAGGGCUCGCAGGGGGUUUCUUAAGUCUGAUGUGAAAGCCCCCGGCUCAACCGGGGAGGGUCAUUGGAAACUGGGAAACUUGAGUGCAGAAGAGGAGAGUGGAAUUCCACGUGUAGCGGUGAAAUGCGUAGAGAUGUGGAGGAACACCAGUGGCGAAGGCGACUCUCUGGUCUGUAACUGACGCUGAGGAGCGAAAGCGUGGGGAGCGAACAGGAUUAGAUACCCCGGUAGUCCCUGUCUCUUAUAC
RNAcentral lists this ribosomal RNA (301 nucleotides) under uncultured bacterium. Its description in RNAcentral is "partial 16S ribosomal RNA". It matches the Rfam family "Bacterial small subunit ribosomal RNA", at positions 509 to 807 of the family's 1533-position model. The record is from RNAcentral.